Molecule: long non-coding RNA, 466 nt
Organism: Acanthopagrus latus (yellowfin seabream)
Lineage: Eukaryota; Metazoa; Chordata; Actinopteri; Spariformes; Sparidae
Exons: 3
Source: RefSeq, a predicted model, not a curated record
CCUCCACAGACUUGAGGAAGUCCCUCUCGCUCUGGAGGGCCAGCGUCUCCUCCAUCUGACUGGAGCAGCAGGUGUAGUCCUGAGGACAGAGCCGCAGGUGCUCGCCUGGAACGACAACAAGUUUGGAUCAAUCGGCGUUCAUCAAAAGCCGAGACCUUCUCUCAAUAACGUUGGGUCUUUGAUAUGUCAGAGGUAAUGAUAUGCAAACGACAACCAGGGGAGAGAAAGAGAGAGAGCGAGGGAGAGAAAACGUCCCUCUGAACGUGGAAUAAAAAGGUUUGUAUUCUUUGUUUUUAUAAUUCUACACCUAGCGUGAAUAUUAUACUGCCGUGGAAAGUGUCGUUCCCAACUCCACCCUCGCUGAUGUUCCUGUCUGCCUCUUUUGUUCUCUCUGUGCGUCUCACUAUUAGCCCUCUCUCAUCCCUCUAUUUCCAUUUCUAAACUGCCUCUCUUCAUCCUUCGUCUC